GACAGAGGUGCCAAGCGUUAGGCGGAAUCACUGGGCUUAAAGCGUGUGUAGGUGGAUUUGUAAGUACCUUGUGAAAUCCCAUGGCUCAACCAUGGAACUGCUCGGUAUACUGCGAAUCUUGAGCCACUUAGGGGCUACCGGAACAAAUGGUGGAGCGGUGAAAUGCGUAGAUAUCAUUUGGAACGCCAAUGGUGAAAACAGGUAGCUGGGAGUGUGCUGACACUGGAGACACGAAAGCCAGGGGAGCGAACGGGG
Molecule: ribosomal RNA, 255 nt
Filed under: uncultured bacterium
Lineage: Bacteria
Description: partial 16S ribosomal RNA
Rfam family: Bacterial small subunit ribosomal RNA
Source: RNAcentral